This 320-nucleotide ribosomal RNA is filed under the name Clostridiales bacterium. RNAcentral's name for it is "bacterial SSU rRNA". It matches the Rfam family "Bacterial small subunit ribosomal RNA", at positions 1 to 322 of the family's 1533-position model. Lineage: Bacteria; Bacillati; Bacillota; Clostridia; Eubacteriales. The record is from RNAcentral.
UCAAGAGUUUGAUCCUGGCUCAGGACGAACGCUGGCGGCAUGCUUAACACAUGCAAGUCGAACGGACUGAUUCCCUUCGGGGAUGAAAGUUAGUGGCGAACGGGUGAGUAAUGUAUGAGCAACCUGCCUCUGUCAACGGGAUAACAGUCGGAAACGACUGCUAAUACGGUAUAUGACCACGGCACCGCAUGGUGCAGCGGUAAAAGAUUUUAUCGGACAGAGAUGGGCUCAUAUCCCAUUAGGUAGUUGGUGAGAUAACAGCCCACCAAGCCGACGAUGGGUAGCCGAGCUGAGAGGCUGAUCGGCCACAUUGGGACUGA